UAGGGAAUCUUCCACAAUGGACGAAAGUCUGAUGGAGCAACGCCGCGUGAGUGAAGAAGGUUUUCGGAUCGUAAAGCUCUGUUGUUGGUGAAGAAGGAUAGAGGCAGUAACUGGUCUUUAUUUGACGGUAAUCAACCAGAAAGUCACGGCUAACUACGUGCCAGCAGCCGCGGUAAUACGUAGGUGGCAAGCGUUGUCCGGAUUUAUUGGGCGUAAAGCGAGCGCAGGCGGAAUGAUAAGUCUGAUGUGAAAGCCCACGGCUCAACCGUGGAACUGCAUCGGAAACUGUCAUUCUUGAGUGCAGAAGAGGAGAGUGGAACUCCAUGUGUAGCGGUGGAAUGCGUAGAUAUAUGGAAGAACACCAGUGGCGAAGGCGGCUCUCUGGUCUGCAACUGACGCUGAGGCUCGAAAGCAUGGGUAGCGAACAGGAUUAGAUACCCUGGUAGUCCAUGCCGUAAACGAUGAGCGCUAGGUGUUGGGGACUUUCCGGUCCUCAGUGCCGCAGCAAACGCAUUAAGCGCUCCGCCUGGGGAGUACGACCGCAAGGUUGAAA
This 553-nucleotide ribosomal RNA is filed under the name uncultured bacterium. RNAcentral describes it as "partial 16S ribosomal RNA". It matches the Rfam family "Bacterial small subunit ribosomal RNA", at positions 355 to 899 of the family's 1533-position model. The record is from RNAcentral.